Long non-coding RNA from Oncorhynchus tshawytscha (Chinook salmon), 1901 nucleotides. RefSeq lists it as uncharacterized. The record is from RefSeq and is a predicted model, not a curated record. NCBI's taxonomy places the organism in Eukaryota, Metazoa, Chordata, Actinopteri, Salmoniformes, Salmonidae. The transcript is spliced from 2 exons.
UAUUAUGUCGCUUUCAAAAAAAACUGUGAACGAGGUCAACUCAUGACUUAAGUGACCGUUCAAAUAGUUUUUUCAGUUCCCAGUUGUUUUGAACCCACAGAAGUCGAAGAUUUCCGAGUUCCCAGUUUCCAGUAGUUUUUAACGCGGCAUUUUAAAAAACAAGUUUAGACAUGGCAUAAAAACAGGAGCUCAAGGAUCGAGCAGGGCUAGAGGCGAGACUUUCAAUUUCAGUUUUCAGCAGCGGUUAAUCAAGAUGCCAGUCAUUUGUAGCAGCUGUGCUGAGAAGAGUGCAGUGCUGAAACGUCCAAAGCCGGCCCAUUCCUUGUCCAAAGAGUCCCUCUUCUGGGCCUUUGAGGAGGAGGUGCAUCAGACAAUAAUAUCAGCACAGCUCUUCAAAGAUGGAGAGACUGUGGGCAUUGGUGCCUCUGGCGGGAAGGAUUCCACUGUGCUGGCCACCUCAGUAAACAAUGGACCUGAUCGGACAGCUCAGAGCUUCUGCUCUUUUCUGUCCAUAAAAAACAAAUGGAUUGGUGGAAGAGGCACACCUCAUGAAGGUCCUAAAUGAGCGCUAUAACUAUAGCCUGAAACUAAUGCUGCUCUCAGUGGACGAGGGCAUGACAGGUAACCGUGAUGACUCCUUGGAGACUGAAGAGAACCAGCAGUAGUAUGAACUACCUCUGAAGAUUGUGUCCUAUGAGGAGCUGUAUGGCUGGACCAUGGAUGCCAUAGUGAAGCAGAUCGGACUGAAGAACAAUUGCUCUUUCUGUGGAGUGUUCCCGAAGACAGGCUCUGGACAGGGGAGCCAUGAUGCUGAAGGUUGAUAAGAUAUAUGCAGGUAAUAUAUAAGACAAAUGUAUUUGUUAUUGAGCAGGCUUAUUUUAUCUAUCUUAUUUCAGAUGUGUAGCCUAGUUUAAACGGUUCUUAAACAGUCCUGUGGCUACAUCUACAGCCAGGCGCUGUGUAAGUCCUGUGUUCUGCUGGAGGGCCUGAACCGUGACCUGCCUAGACUAGGAAUCGGCAAGCACCACCGCCUCCACAGGAAGAUCCUCUCACAGCAGCCUCUGAUCCAGGCACAAGAGAGGAAACUCAAGGCUGUGGACUUCUGAGAGGCGUAUAGGCAGAACAUCUCAGGAUCACCUCCACUGUCUGUGAAGUUACACCUUGAAAUGAGUAACCGAAGAUGCCUCAAAACCAGAUGUGGAGUUGUUUUUAAGUUUUAGCUUGGAAUUGAAGUAGAGAUGUUACGUUGCCUCUAACAAAAGAGUAGCCAGCAUUUCCACUUUUCAGACACUGAACAAUGGGGAAGUGGUAAUGAUUAAAAAGGUCCUCCUUGCAGUUGCUGGAAUCUAAAUUCAAUUCACAUUUGGCUAUAUGGUCAGUUAAUUAUGAAACCUCUGACAGCUGAUGAUUGAAAUACAAGUAUUUUGUGUGGUAUCUGUAUAAUAAAGCUAUUCUACAUUUGCAUGGCCUCUUCUGAUUUUAGUAUGAACAAUUCCUCAAGAGAAUUCUUACAGGUACUUACACAUUAGGAUUACUGAUAGGUAAAGAAUUGUCUGUUAAUUGAAUGAUUAGAAUAUUCUGCCCUGAAACAUAUAAUUGUAUGGAAUUGAUUAGCAUGUAUAAAAUCAUAAUCAAGAAAUGUGUUGUCCUAGUCAGAAUUAGGGUAAAACAAUAUGUCUUUAUGGUAUUUUAAACACAGACUGUCUGAGCUUGGUGCCGACCUGACUAGAGAUUUGGGAGAGAACGGGUAGGACAAGGUCACUAUCUCUGUCGGCUGGGUAGUGAGACAGACAGUGUGCGUCUUUGUGUGUAUGUGUGGGCUUGAGAAGUCAGUAUUAAAUGAAUUGUUUUGUAUUCUUGACUUUAGAACGUUCCCGUGAAUAAACAUUUUUUACUAUUUA